This 468-nucleotide ribosomal RNA is filed under the name uncultured bacterium. RNAcentral describes it as "partial 16S ribosomal RNA". It matches the Rfam family "Bacterial small subunit ribosomal RNA", at positions 28 to 507 of the family's 1533-position model. The record is from RNAcentral.
GACGAACGCUGGCGGCGUGCUUAACACAUGCAAGUCGAACGGAAAGGCCCUGCUUUUGUGGGGUGCUCGAGUGGCGAACGGGUGAGUAACACGUGAGUAACCUGCCCUUGACUUUGGGAUAACUUCAGGAAACUGGGGCUAAUACCGGAUAGGAGCUCCUGCUGCAUGGUGGGGGUUGGAAAGUUUCGGCGGUUGGGGAUGGACUCGCGGCUUAUCAGCUUGUUGGUGGGGUAGUGGCUUACCAAGGCUUUGACGGGUAGCCGGCCUGAGAGGGUGACCGGCCACAUGGGGACGGAGAUACGGCCCAGACUCCUACGGGAGGCAGAAGUGGAGAAUAUUGCACAAUGGGCGGAAGCCUGAUGCAGCAACGCCGCGUGCGGGAUGACGGCCUUCGGGUUGUAAACCGCUUUCGCCUGUGACGAAGCGUGAGUGACGGUAAUGGGUAAAGAAGCACCGGCUAACUACGUG